RNAcentral lists this ribosomal RNA (292 nucleotides) under uncultured bacterium. Its description in RNAcentral is "partial 16S ribosomal RNA". It matches the Rfam family "Bacterial small subunit ribosomal RNA", at positions 505 to 796 of the family's 1533-position model. The record is from RNAcentral.
GUGUCAGCAGCCGCGGUAAGACAGAGGGGGCUAGCGUUGCUCGGAAUCACUGGGCGUAAAGGGCGCGUAGGCGGGGUGGCAAGUCGGUCGUGAAAUCCUCCGGCUCAACCGGAGAACGUCGGCCGAAACUGCCAUUCUUGAGGGAUGCAGAGGAGACUGGAAUUCCCGGUGUAGCGGUGAAAUGUGUAGAGAUCGGGAGGAACACCGGUGGCGAAGGCGGGUCUCUGGGCAUCUCCUGACGCUGAGGCGCGAAAGCGUGGGGAGCAAACGGGAUUAGAAACCCCUGUAGUCC